GUAACCGGUAUGCAUCUUGUUUACCUGUCCACCGACCUGAUGUCUGCCUGGUUAUCGGUCUACUGUAGCGCCACAAGAUCCAUGGUGCGGCAGCAGCCCUUUCAUCAGCUGAGUGUGUGCCCUGCAAUCAGAGCUCAGGGCCUGUGAUAAUCAUAGGUGCUGAGAACUGCCAGUGGGAGCAGUGCCCCUUGUGGUGGCGGGUCCCGCUGUGGCUGUG
Molecule: long non-coding RNA, 217 nt
Organism: Pimephales promelas (fathead minnow)
Lineage: Eukaryota; Metazoa; Chordata; Actinopteri; Cypriniformes; Leuciscidae
Source: RefSeq, a predicted model, not a curated record